Spinacia oleracea (spinach) is the source of this 706-nucleotide long non-coding RNA. RefSeq lists it as uncharacterized. The transcript has 7 exons. The record is from RefSeq and is a predicted model, not a curated record. NCBI's taxonomy places the organism in Eukaryota, Viridiplantae, Streptophyta, Magnoliopsida, Caryophyllales, Amaranthaceae.
AACAAUCUCAAACCCUCAUUCUCUUUCACGUCUACUUCUCCUCCCUUGCUGCUGCUCACGCCGCCAUCACCACCAGCCACCUGCACGACGCUGACGUUCUUCCACCCUCCAUGCCCGCACCACCACCACGCUGCCACCAGCGUUCGACCCUUUGCUUCAUCCGCUGCAACCCUCGCCGUCCACCACCGCGAGCCACCACACGACCACCAGCCGCGACCACCUGCACGCUGCCGCGCCUCACUGGCCGCCGGCCAACAUCUCAUUUCCUCUUUAAUUGGCGGAGAAUUCUCUGUAGGCGACUUUUGAAAUCAUUAAAGUAGGCCUAUCAGUUUGUUUACACAAGGUCACUGAGGUUACGGAGUCGCGCUCGUACCUCGUCUUCUAAUGAAGGCUUUGGGCGGAGAAUUCUCUGUAGGCGACUUUUGAAAUCAUUAAAGUAGGCCUAUCAGUUUGUUUACACAAGUCUCUAAGGAUCAAUAAGCAUCGUCCAUAUACAGGUUUGAAGAUGAUGCAUCAUUGGGUUCGGGAUUAAAGAGCUUGUAGUUUGGUUUUGAUUUGUUAAAGUGACUUUGGUUUGUUUAAAUUGGACUUUAAACUUGUUGAAUCAGUUUCGUUGACUUUAUUUUCGUUGGUUGGUUUGGGGAUUUUACUGCGUAGUUAACUAUUUAUAAUUUAAAGUUAGUUUAUGUUUUCCGCUGCAAAAUUU